GCUGACUGGUGCUGACUGACGGAAGAUGACUGUGCAGUUGCAUAGGUGACUUAUGCCCGGCUUACGACGGGCUUUUGGAAAUAAUUUUCUGCCCAUGCUGUCCUAAUAUUUUCUUUCACGAUGGCUGACUCAAAUAAGCCAUCAGCAGUUCCCAUUUACAUUUCAAUUAUCUUGUUUGUUUGCUUUGUUUACGGGAUAUAUGAUUAUCUCACCGGUUUUGAAGAAAACGGUUGUGCGUUGACAUACAUGUAUGAAUACCCACAAUUCGUGAGAAUUCAGCUGCCUCAGAACAUCUCCCAGAAGUAUCCUCGCUACAAGCUGUAUGCUUAUGGCGAGGGAGUCUACACUGAGCAGCUACGAGAUGGCAAAUUCAAUGGUGUGCCAGUUCUCUUCAUUCCUGGCAAUGGAGGAUCUUACAAGCAGGCGCGCUCGCUGGCGUCGGUGGCGUACCGUCAGGCGGUCGACUCUCGUCUGCGCACCCCGCUCAACGUGUUCACCGUGGACCUGGCGGAGGACCUGGGCGCCGUCCACGGCCGGCUGCUGGCCGAACAGACCCGCUUUGUGGCCGCCUGCGUGCGGGCCGUGCUGCGGCUGUACGGCAGGGCCGCCGGGCCGCCGCCCGCCUCCGUGGCCCUGGUCGGACACUCCAUGGGCGGUGUGGUGGCUCGCGGCCUGUUCGCGCUGCCCGGGUUUGACCCCGCCUCUGUCAAUGUGCUCCUCCUGCUGGCGGCGCCCAUCGCCGAGCCGCCGCUCAGAGUCGACCUGGCGAUGGUGCGCUACUACGGCUGGGUGGAGUCGUUCUGGGCAGCGCGGCGCAACACCACCCUCUCGGCCGUGACCGUGGUCUCGCUGUCCGGGGGAGACAGGGACGUCCAGAUUCGACCACACCAGACGCAGCACCCCAGCUCCGACAUCACAGCCGUGACGGUCUCCGUUCCGGGCGUGUGGGCGUCGGCCGACCACCAGUGCAUCGUCUGGUGCCGCCAGCUGGUGCUGGUGCUGGCGCGCGCCCUGUUCGACCUGGUGAGCGCCGACACCCGCCAGAUCACCACCGACCCGGCCGCCGCGCGCGCAGUCCUCCGGCACCACUUUGUGCAGCGUACCCACGGAAAGCACUACCGGAACGCCUUCCACCCGGCCACUGUCCCGCUGGACCCGGCCGGCGAGUGGAAACAGUUCGCCCUACGACAGUGGAGCUACACGGCAGCGCGCGGCGAGUCUGGCCGUCCCACAUACCUGAUGAUCGGCCUGAUGAACAACCCGCUAUACCAGCGCGCCACAAUCAGCACGGUGAACCUGCCCAGCCGCGACUGGCUGGUGGCCUGUGUGGCCAGCAAGGUGGAUAAGGGAGUCAGGAUGUGUGAGGAGGGUGACAACCUGAGCCGGCUGGCGGAGCAGGUGCCGUCCCUCCAGGGCCGCCGUCGCUCCGUCUCUCUGGACCUGGAGCGGCUCCACCAGCGGGGCUACACACACGUGGUGGUGAUCGUGCGGCCCGCCGCAGAACAGGUGACGGUGGACUGUGACGUCAGUCGCCACAGCGACCGUCAGCUGACGGCCGACGUUCCCGCGUUCAGCUCGUUUCGCGCCUUCUUCAGUCAGCAGCAGCUGCUGGCCGAGACCCAGGCGGGCGCACUCAGCUACAACGUCUCGCUGAAGUCCCUGACGGAGCCGUGGCAGGCGGUGCGUCUGUACCUCCGUCCCACGGCCGCCUGCGGUCUCAGCAGCCAGUCGGGUCUCUCGUUCCACGUGCCGUGGGGCCAGCAGACCCAGCACGUACUGACCAGCGGUACUACAGUAGCCAGUGUGGCGGCCAAGCUGCAGUUUCCCCGGCCGGUGAACCUGAGCGCGGACGUCCUGCCGUACGUGACGGCCCACCUGGAUCCCACCUGUCGCUACUCAAUCAGCCUGCAGAGCUCGUUCCCGGAGCUGUGGGGCCAGAUGGCGCGCUAUUUCGGCGCGCUGCUCGUGCCGGCCGUGCUGUCGGUGACGCUGGUCACGCUGGCCGAGCAGCUGCGCGCCGCAGACGCCGGACAGACGCUCACCACGCACGGCGCGCUACUCCGGCUGACGCCGCUCAAACUGGUGAUGCCGUCUCAGCUGCUGACCUCGCUACUCGGCUGGUCGUUCCUGUCGUCUCGCCUGCCGCCGGCCGACCUGCCGCAGCUGGCCGCCCGCGGUCUCAGCUGCUCCGUUCUGCCCUUCCUGCUGUACUUUGUGUCGUGGGCGGUGGUGUGGCUGCUGUCACUGGUCGGAUGGGCGGCCGUGGCCUUCGUCGGUGGACUGGUGCACCGCGUCACCGGCAGACUGGUGUCCCGCGCGGUGGGCGGCUCCGAGGCGGUGGCCGAGGUGGCCGUUGCCGGCGCCGCCCGGUUCCCGGUCAUCCUCUCGGUGGCUCUCUCCGCGCUGGCGCUCUCCUCCUGCGGAGAGAUCGCCCUCGGACUCGGACUGAUCGUCACCUGCGUCAAGGUGUUCCAGAGUUACGAGGAGGUUCUAUCGGGCGGCGGCCGGCCGGCGGCGCUCAAGGCGUACACGUCGGUGACGCUGGCUCUGGUCUGGCUCUGGGUCACCCUGUUCCACCUGCCCUGCCUGCUCGUCUGGUCCAGGACGCGCAGUGAGAGCACCCAGCUGCCGGAGGAUCCCAGUCUGGUGGCGGCGCUGGUGCUCUGUAACAGCGGGGCAGUCCUCUGGCGAGACGCAGCGCCCCGUCUCGACCUGGCCGGUUACCGCGCUGUGGCCGCUGUGGUGCACACGGCCGCCGUGGCCGUCUACCUGUUCGGUCUGCUGAACGUAUACCGGGCCGGCUGGCUGGCGGCCGCCGCCGUCCUGGCCGUGGCCGUCCACCAGCUGACGGCGCCCGUCAGAGAGAUACCGGCCGAGCCGGACACCGGGGCAGAGCAGGAGGCGCCGGAGGGAGAGCAGGAGGCGCCGGAGGGAGAGCAGACUCAGGAGCAGGAGGCAGAGCUGCAGCAGCAGGACGACGCGGCCGGCGGUGACGGCGACUCCGGCCCGGAGGACGCCGCUGACGAGCAGCCGUGUCCGGCCGACUCUGCCGACUCUGCUGACUCGGCUCCGGCCGGCGGACCGGGCGGGGACGGGGUGCGGCGCCGCUGACUGGCGCGACUCCAACCUGCCGCCGACCCAGGCGGGGAGCGGUGAGCUGCCCCUGACCGGGCGGGGAGCUGUCCCUCACCCAGGCGGUGAGCUGUCCUUCACCCAGGCGGCGCAGCUACCCAGUCCCUUACUGCGGUCCGGCCGAGUAUAGCCCCGCCCUGUCCCAUAUCACAGCCAUGUGGAGCGCUGCCCGGGUCUGCGCUGUUUGUUUGUACCCACUGAUGCGCCGUGUGUGUGUGUGUGUGUGCGUGUGUUACUUAGUAGUGAUUGCCGUGUGAUCUGUGCACGCCCGCCGGUCCAGUCAGCCGUCUGUGAUCAGAUCCAACCAGAGCUAAUGGGUGCGAGGUGGGGCCGGCGGCAGCUGAUCCGUCGUUAGAUGUGCCGUGUCGUUAGUACACCCACCCCGUGUUGAGGCACAUAUCUAUCAUUGCUGAGCCCUCGGGCGGCACCCAGGAGCGGACUGGCGGACACUCUGCUGUGGGGCCGAGAUGCCCCGCCGUCCUGGUGAGCGCGAGUCGUGAGCGACGGGCGGUAGCCCGUACAUUACAAUUUCCCCAAAGACACAACGUCGGUAACAAAUGUUGGUAACAAACGCCUGAUGGCAACAAUCAUAGUAUUACAAUCUCGCCCCCGCGGUAUCACACAAUAUGACAGACUGUAUCACCUGUUUGUUAUAUGUUGGCCGAUGAUGGGGUUUCAGUCCUAGUGAUCCCUUUGUGUUCGAUCAAUACACAUAUCAGACCCGAACCCCAGCAA
RNAcentral lists this unclassified non-coding RNA (3867 nucleotides) under Amphibalanus amphitrite. Its description in RNAcentral is "gPI inositol-deacylase-like, transcript variant X2". The record is from RNAcentral. Lineage: Eukaryota; Metazoa; Arthropoda; Thecostraca; Balanomorpha; Balanidae.